This is a non-coding RNA of Bactrocera oleae (olive fruit fly), 2081 nucleotides long. Lineage: Eukaryota; Metazoa; Arthropoda; Insecta; Diptera; Tephritidae. The record is from RefSeq and is a predicted model, not a curated record.
GUAUGAAUCAGUUCAAUAUUUUAUUACUUCAAAAAAUAAAAUAACACAUAUCUGCAAGAGUACAAUAAUUUAAAAUUUCUUCGGAACGGGACAUAAUCAUCAUUACAAUGAUGCGAUCCAACAAUCAAGGCAUUUAUAUAUUUAUUUUUGUACUUACAUACAAUACAGUAGCAGACUAACUGACUAUACUUAUUCUUUUUAUAUUUUGGAGAUACACGGACAGAUUCACCAUCGAAUUGGAUCAUUACAACCUAUAGAAUAUAGACAGCAUAAAUUUUUACCAAUAUAUGUACUUCAAGGGCAACAUGGAAAAACAACUUGAUUGACGUUAAAAGAACAAUACAGCAAUGAAAACAGGAAUUCUUUACGAUUUGCAGCAACUACUACAUGAACAUCAUGCAGAUAAACGACCAUCUUGAACUCACGAACGCACAUUUUACAUUGUUUGACGACAUGUACGCCAAGCUAGAAAUAGAGCGUUUAACUUUCAUGCAAUUCGUACCAAAGAAACUGCAGCUAAUAUUGAUCGAUUGACUAUUCAGCCUGCAACGUACAUAGGUAUGUCAUGUCAUAUGCAAGAAUAUGGGCAAAAUGCAAUGACGUAUGUUUGUAAUUACGGUUGUCCAGUUUACCUAUAAUCCAGCACGUGUUUCAAAGUCUGCCCCUGAUGAACCAUAUUGUUAAACAACGCGCCUUUGGAGAUACUCGAUGCUGGAUGUAUUGAAUUGUAAAAACGACCCCUGCCGCACGCACACAUUAUUUGGUUAGUAGAAAGAAUUUAACCAAACCAAAUAGAUUAUAUCAUAUGUGCCGAGAUUCCCGAUGAAAACAUAUCGUUGUUGACAACAGUUGAAUUGUUCCAUAUUCGCCACUUAUUUCCAAAACGUUCAAGACACAUCGCAAUGUUGAGUAUUGCAAUUCAGUAAAGUCCAUAAAAUACAUUUGCAAAUAUGUCAUAAAAUGGUACGAAAGGCAGCAUUAUGGCUGUUUUUGGCAUAAAAUCCUCGAAUACCAACGAAGAAAUUGUGCGCUAUCAAGUUGGUCGUUACUUCAAUUGUAAUGAAUGAUUUUGCAUAUAUUCGCAUACGUCGUCAUACAAUUGUACAUUAGUUGGGGUAUCUGGAUAAUGGCUAACGAGUGUGUUUUACUUCUUCGAAUGUUGUUCAACGUACUGAAACACUUCCAGCGACAACAUUGACCAGUUUUUUUGCGAUCUGCCAAAGCGAUACGUUUCCACGAGCUUUGCUUUGCUCGGAGAUGCCACGAUACUACAUUUGGAAUGCUGAUGCUCUAUGGUCGUAUGUAUACAGUUCAACCAAAGAAUGAUGAAUGUUCCAACGUCAUUUGAAACACAACGGACUAUUAAUGGAAUAAUAUUCCCAAAAUAUGGUGCUGCAUGUGAAGAACUCAAUUUACUAAAAAACGAUACCCAUUGAGGGGACACUCGUUGAAGCCAUUAUCUCUGCAUCUCCAAGUCAGAUACGCACAUUGUUUGAUAUCAUCAUUUCAUCGAAGUCAUCUGUUACCUCAUGUGCGGUAGUUGUACUAGUCAGGUUAAGAUUGGCAGGGCCAAAUCGUGAAAUGAAUGACGCAUUUAAACGAGAAUUGGAACUAGAACGUGAAUAUGAUCAUUAAUAAUUAGAUUUAGUAGUUCAAAGGAAUAUACACCUGUUGUAUCCCCAACAAAAGAAAGUUUGUGAUACAUUAAUGAAGGAAAUUGAUGAUGGAAAUGGUGUUUUAUAUAUCCUUGAUGCCCCUGGUGAAACUGGUAAAACAUUUUUCAUGUCAGUACUUUUACCCACUGUUCGUGCGAGAUCCAACAUUGCGAUUGCAGUUGCUUCUUGAGUAGCAGUCACAUUGUUAGAAAGAUACCAUACGGCUCAUUCAGCAUUAAAAUUGUCGUUAAAUCUUCAAAAUAUUGAAGAACCAACAUGUAAUAUUGCAAAAAACUCAGCAAUGGCCAAUCAUUAUCUGUGACGAAUGCACAAUAGGCUCUUUCGUAUCGUAUUGUACAUCUGACAGUACCAUUGAAAAACGUGGCAAGAGGACCAUUUCUCCAUUAAAUUUUCAAGUCAAAAUGG